RNAcentral lists this long non-coding RNA (756 nucleotides) under Rattus norvegicus (Norway rat). RNAcentral's name for it is "long non-coding RNA NONRATT010798". Lineage: Eukaryota; Metazoa; Chordata; Mammalia; Rodentia; Muridae. The record is from RNAcentral.
UUUAGUGUCCGGAUGUGGUUGUGUGUAGAAGGCCCAAGUGCUUGGGUGGUCUCACUUGCCUUCCCGAGUUUUCUGGAAGUAGAUUCUUUUCUUUUUUUUUUUUUUCGGAGCUGGGGACCGAACCCAGGGCCUUGCGCUUGCUAGGCAAGUGCUCUACCACUGAGCUAAAUCCCCAACCCCUCUUUUCUUUAAAAAAGUCAGUGUUUCUUUGUGUAUCCCUGCCUACCAGGCUAGCCUCAAACUCUGAGAUCUGCCUGCCUCUGCCUCCCAAGGGCUGGGACUAAGGGCGAGCUGCAUCAUUGGCUGGCAUGUGUACUUUUUUCUACUGUUCCUAGACUAAUUACUGGAGAGCGGCUAAUGAUCUGUGUGUCUCUUUCUGCUGGGAAAGCUCACAUUGUGAGUGUGACUAGCACUUUAUCCAGCCCAUUCAGACGGGGUCCUAAAACGCAUGUACAUCCGAUUGUCAUUUCCUACAUGCAGAUGUAUAGCUCAGUAAUCAAGUCAGUUGCAAGCCAGACAUUUACAUACACACAUUCUAGAGGGGAAAGAAAAUUAUUGCUAUGUUGACUAGCCUUGUUCAUAAAUGCUCAUCCUCACUGGAAUAGUGUAACAAUGUUAGUCUCAAGUGACUUUAAGCUCCUUUACUCAAACCAAUCGACUAGCAAUCAAACCAAUAGAUUGGUAACCAGACCAGCAGUUAGUUUUGAAAAGACUAAAAAGACAUGGUUUUGAAGUCUUGCAGAGUGAUGCCUAGAA